RNAcentral lists this ribosomal RNA (742 nucleotides) under uncultured bacterium. RNAcentral describes it as "bacterial SSU rRNA". It matches the Rfam family "Bacterial small subunit ribosomal RNA", at positions 28 to 760 of the family's 1533-position model. The record is from RNAcentral.
GAUGAACGCUAGCUACAGUCUUAACACAUGCAAGUCGAGGGGCAUCAGGAAGAAAGCUUGCUUUCUCUGCUGGCGACCGGCGCACGGGUGAGUAACACGUAUCCAACCUGCCCUUUACUCGGGGAUAGCCUUUCGAAAGAAAGAUUAAUACCCGAUAGCAUAAUGAUUCCGCAUGGUUUCAUUAUUAAAGGAUUCCGGUAAAGGAUGGGGAUGCGUUCCAUUAGGUUGUUGGUGAGGUAACGGCUCACCAAGCCUUCGAUGGAUAGGGGUUCUGAGAGGAAGGUCCCCCACAUUGGAACUGAGACACGGUCCAAACUCCUACGGGAGGCAGCAGUGAGGAAUAUUGGUCAAUGGGCGCUAGCCUGAACCAGCCAAGUAGCGUGAAGGAUGAAGGCUCUAUGGGUCGUAAACUUCUUUUAUAUAAGAAUAAAGUGCAGUAUGUAUACUGUUUUGUAUGUAUUAUAUGAAUAAGGAUCGGCUGACUCCGUGCCAGCAGCCGCGGUAAUACGGAGGAUCCGAGCGUUAUCCGGAUUUAUUGGGUUUAAAGGGAGCGUAGGUGGACUGGUAAGUCAGUUGUGAAAGUUUGCGGCUCAACCGUAAAAUUGCAGUUGAUACUGUCAGUCUUGAGUACAGUAGAGGUGGGCGGAAUUCGUGGUGUAGCGGUGAAAUGCUUAGAUAUCACGAAGAACUCCGAUUGCGAAGGCAGCUCACUGNGACUGCACUGACACUGAUGCUCGAAAGU